AUGAACGCUGGCGGCGUGCCUAAUACCUGCAAGUCGAGCGAACAGAUCAGGAGCUUGCUCCUUUGACGUUAGCGGCGGACGGGUGAGUAACACGUGGGUAACCUACCUAUAAGACUGGGAUAACUUCGGGAAACCGGAGCUAAUACCGGAUAACAUUUGGAACCGCAUGGUUCUAAAGUGAAAGAUGGUUUUGCUAUCACUUAUAGAUGGACCCGCGCCGUAUUAGCUAGUUGGUAAGGUAACGGCUUACCAAGGCGACGAUACGUAGCCGACCUGAGAGGGUGAUCGGCCACACUGGAACUGAGACACGGUCCAGACUCCUACGGGAGGCAGCAGUAGGGAAUCUUCCGCAAUGGGCGAAAGCCUGACGGAGCAACGCCGCGUGAGUGAUGAAGGGUUUCGGCUCGUAAAACUCUGUUAUUAGGGAAGAACAAAUGUGUAAGUAACUGUGCACGUCUUGACGGUACCUAAUCAGAAAGCCACGGCUAACUACGUG
RNAcentral lists this ribosomal RNA (496 nucleotides) under uncultured bacterium. RNAcentral's name for it is "partial 16S ribosomal RNA". It matches the Rfam family "Bacterial small subunit ribosomal RNA", at positions 29 to 507 of the family's 1533-position model. The record is from RNAcentral.